GCACCUAUCGUCUAUCGGUUAGGAUACUAGACUUUCAAUCUGGAGAGACGGGUUCGACUCCCGUUAGGUGUACCA
Molecule: transfer RNA, 75 nt
Filed under: Rhizobium sp. MHM7A
Lineage: Bacteria; Pseudomonadati; Pseudomonadota; Alphaproteobacteria; Hyphomicrobiales; Rhizobiaceae
Description: tRNA-Glu
Rfam family: tRNA
About the family: Transfer RNA (tRNA) molecules are approximately 80 nucleotides in length. Their secondary structure includes four short double-helical elements and three loops (D, anti-codon, and T loops).
Source: RNAcentral